Molecule: ribosomal RNA, 460 nt
Filed under: uncultured bacterium
Lineage: Bacteria
Description: partial 16S ribosomal RNA
Rfam family: Bacterial small subunit ribosomal RNA
Source: RNAcentral
CCUACGGGGUGCUGCAGUGAGGAAUAUUGGUCAAUGGACGAGAGUCUGAACCAGCCAAGUAGCGUGAAGGAUGACUGCCCUAUGGGUUGUAAACUUCUUUUAUAUGGGAAUAAAAUGUUCCACGUGUGGGAUUUUGUAUGUACCAUAUGAAUAAGGAUCGGCUAACUCCGUGCCAGCAGCCGCGGUAAUACGGAGGGUCCGAGCGUUAUCCGGAUUUAUUGGGGUUAAAGGGAGCGUAGGUGGAUUGUUAAGUCAGUUGUGAAAGUUUGCGGCUCAACCGUAAAAUUGCAGUUGAAACUGGCAGUCUUGAGUACAGUAGAGGUGUGCGGAAUUCGUGGUGUAGCGGUGAAAUGCUUAGAUAUCACGAAGAACUCCGAUUGCGAAGGCAGUUCACUGGACUGCAACUGACACUGAGGCUCGAAAGUGUGGGUAUCAAACAGGAUUAGAUACCCGGGUAGUC